Molecule: long non-coding RNA, 4846 nt
Organism: Taeniopygia guttata (zebra finch)
Lineage: Eukaryota; Metazoa; Chordata; Aves; Passeriformes; Estrildidae
Source: Ensembl
CCUAUGUUUAAAUCUUUCUCACUCACACCCUUUACAAGUCUAAAUUUGAGUUACACUCACAGAGAUAAAAUGCUGUAUUUGGCUUUGUGUGUUGUAGAACAUUAUUAGCAGAGUAAAAAAUUGCUUCUUUAGCAUUUUCUUCACAUUUUUCAGCUUUUAUUUUCCUGAACAAUUGGAAAGCAAAUGGACCGUGAUGAGGUUUGCUGCUUCUGCACCAGGCUAUAAACAGAAGUUUCCUGUCAUUUCUAGAAACUACAAACCCAUUUUGGAACUGGAACAGAAAUAUUAGAUCUGUGAGGCUCGUGACAUCUGACACCCAUUUUCAUACUGAGCCCAGUUUUUAACAACUGACAAGGCAAAUACGAUAGUGAACAACGUGAAGGAGAGUUAUUGGAGGUCUUUGAUGCAGCUCAGGAAAUAUCACCUUGUUUGUCCCUACACAGUCUCUGCAACUCUGCACCUCUCCCUCUCUAACAGUUCACUUUCUAAGUGUAGCACUGAUACAGUGAACCAUAUUGAUUAGGUUAUGUAUUAGGUGCACAUGUGUACAAACAUGUAACAGUGGUUACAUAUUGUAAAUUCCAAGGUAUUUUUAGAAUAGUCUAAGUAAAGGUGUGUUAGGAGAAGAACAUCACCACUUUUGGACAGAUGGCAGAACUAACAGAAAUCAAUUUCUUACACAUUUCUUUUCUAAUUUCCUAGCUAACCUCUUUUUCCCCUUCCUCUUUCCUUAAUUCCAACCUAAACAGUAGGAAUGAAGCAAGAAUUCAAAGACAUUUCAGUGACUAUCAUAGAGAUCAGACAUGCAAAAGCUAUUGCCUAAGAAAACUUUCAGAAAACAUUAAUUUGAUGGGUAAUUUCCUUCUUGUGUGAAUUUGCCUCAUUUUUCUACUCACAGUUUAUUAUUCAUGUAUGAAUACAGGAAUGAAACAUACAUGCAAAAAAUUGGGGUUUUCAUCUCUUAUUUGUUUUGGGUAAAGAGAAAAAACACAAAAUAAUUUUGCAGAUUUAAAUUGUCCUAAGGUUCUAAAUUUACUGAGAUUAAUUAAAAUAGAAUGAAUCAGAAUAAAUAGGAUUAAGAAUGUAAUAGGGUUUGGAAAAUUCAUUAAAAAAAUUACUGGUUAUUUUGAUGCUAGAUAGUAAAGGGAUUUAAAGUAGUAUAUCUAAAGAAGCUUCCAAUAAAAGGCUUUCUAUUCAAUGGAAAAAAACCAAAACAAACAAACCAAACAAAACAAACAAAAAAAAACCUGUGAAAAUUACAACAUACUACAACUAUAUUACAAUACAGGUAUCGCAGGUCAACCAGAUGAUGGUGGUUAGAUGAAAUAUCUAUAGUGGAGUUCAACUGUUAUCUGAAAAUACUCUCUUCAGCCUUGUGAAACAGAUAAGAGGAAGAACUUCUGAGGUAGUGGAAAAUACAUGAACUGAUUUAACCCACUUAGUAUUGACAAUGGGCUAAUCAUUAUACAUAAUACAGGAACCUUCAAAAGUCUUGUAUUUUUCCUAUCUAGAAAAGUCAUUUAUGACCAAUAUCUGAUAAUUUCCAUAUAAUCAUCUAAAAGUUAUUUACAAUGAUUUUUUAAAGGAUACAUAAAUUUGUAAGAUACAUAUAUUUUAUUUCAAACUGCUGUUAUUAUUAAAGUCAAGCUAAAGAGAUAAAAUCUUAGUGAAAUUAGUCACAAUCUGAGUGUGAUAGGAGUUGCAAGCUAAAUAACUCCACUAGAAUGUCCAUCACUACUAGAAAAAUACUAAAAUCUCAAGACAUUCAAUUUUGACUGGGACAUUCGUUGCUCACCCAAACUGGGUAAUGGACUGCUCAGCUCUAAUACUAUGUGUUCAUCCUAUCAGCAUUCCUGGGAUACACGAACUUUAUGUCUGUGUUCAGUUCCUGUCAGGAGUUAUCAGUUAGGCAUAGAGUUGUGCAGAAAUAUCAGAAAUAUUUCCAGUUCUUCUAGACCAAAGCUACACCACCUUGAGAGUUUCUCUACCAAACUCACCUACUUUUAUAAAUAAAUAAAUAAAUAAAUAAAUAAAUAAAUAAAUAAAUAACAUAUGAGAUAAGACUUGCUUGCAGUUAUCACCAAAGAUAAGACAAGAGACUGUGUCUGGCAUCUUGAUACCUUGAUUUUGUAUGUGUCAGAAUCUCCUGCACAUCUCGUUUCAUGUACAGUUUUCUGUACGUGUCUGGUUUCAGUACAUAAAUGCUAAACAAGGAGGAAAAAACCUCUCUGUAUUACACAGUCUUUGAGUGUUUUCUUGGAAAGCACCACAUGCUGGAAAGACCACUACAAAUAUUCAUGAAGGUAUUUUCAUAUAGCUCAUCAUGUGAAAUGCUUAUUACUGGUAGUUUAAGUUUUCCCAUAAAAUGUUAAUGAAAGCCAUUUAUUUAUUAAUCACUAUUUAGUUAUAUAAAAAAGAAAUAUGAGUCAUAAAUAAGGAGACAGACAAAAGUAAGUUUUUGUUUUUAAAAACCUUAUGUUCACAUUAUUUUAUCACCACUGUGUUAGAGAAAUUACUGUUUUAUAUUCAAAUAAAUGAAAAGGAAUGGAAAAUGAAAAAAGAGAAUUGUCUAUGAUAAAGAUUGAAACUUUAAUAAGCACCAAUGUUGUACAAUGGUUAUUAAUUUCCUUUAGAACCACGUAUGUCCUUUUCUCACACACAGAUUAUAGUUUGUGUUUUGAUUUUCAUUAUUUGUUGGUGCUUAUUUAUUCUGGGUGAUUGGUUAUUCAAGCAUGUCAAGAAUAUUCGAUUUACAAGAUUGGUCCCAGCAUUACAGUGAAUUUUCAGAAAUAUAGUCUGUUUAUUUCAUAUGCCACGACUGAAAGCUCAAGACAUUUAUUCACUCAUUAUUCUAACUACCUUGCCGUCCCACUGUAGUUUCCACAAGAACAGCAAGUGCUGUGCUUCUCUAAUCGGCACUUCUUAGCCAGCCCUCUGUCCCAUUCAUCAUCUCUGUCUACAAAUGGUCAGCUCUGAAGGGCAGAUCAGCCACAAGUCUCCAGAGAAGUCACAGAUGAGACACACAAGGAUAAAAGAAAAGCAAAACAGGGACACUGCUAAAGGAAACGACAAAAAAAACCUGAGCAAACAAUUGAGCUAAGAAGAGAUUAGAAGAACAUGUCAGAACAGAUUAAUUUGAGGAGAUGAAGCAUAAGGCAUAAUAUUAGGAAUUUUUAUGGAAUAGCUAGAGAGACAAGUCAACAAGAAAAAUAAAAAGAGAGAAAGGAGAGGCAAAUAAAAUAACCAAAGCCUUUCAAAGUAUAUCAGAAUAGCCUUAGAUUAAAACUAAAAGAAAAUUGUCAAAAAAAGGGAGGAUGAAGUAAGUGGUAAGCAUAAAGAAGGAAGGACUUGGUAAUAAAAUACUAAAUGAGGAAUUUAUGUAGCAAUGUAAAUUACUGGUUAAAUGUACUGGUUGAAAUACAUUUUAUCCUGACAGACUAGAACAUCACCUUCAAAAUGUAAUUGCAAUGUCACUUGCAGUAAAGACCAAAUAAAUUAUAUGUCACUUUACUCAGAGGAGGCAAAGUUAAAUUUGCCUACACUGCUGAGAAGCUUGCUCAGAGCCUACAUUUUUUUUUCCUUUGUAAAGUAAGACCAUUCAGCUAAUGCUGAAUCAUAUUUUAAUGAAUGCACUUAAUAUUCACAGGCUUAAUUAGUUAUAUUUUUACACACAGCUAUCCAGAAUGUUUAUGGCCCAUGAACUUAGUUCUUUUUCUAACAUUUAUGGUCUGAUUGUUGAAAAUUAAAUUAUUUGCCUGAAAAUUAAACAGUUUGUGAACAUUGGCUGAAAUUUAGCCUUCUGUUCUCAUGGGAGCUUAUAAGGAAUUUGAAAAUAUAUAUUUAACACAAAGGUUAAUCAAAAGUUAAUAGUUCUUAUGAUUGAGCAGAGUGGAUAGAAAGUAGGGAGAGUUUAGUAGUCUUUUCAGAUGUUAAGUCAUUUCAGCUGGAAAUCUCUAAGGGCUCUCAGUGACUCUCUUACCUCUGUUUCUUAGACGAAAACAGUCUAGUGACAUGCUAGGGCAUUAGUGUCUACUCAAUUUGACACCAGUUAGAGAAAAAGUACAAAAAGCUUUAUUUAGUAAGUCAAAAGCGAUCUAUACAAAAAGUAUUACACAAAUUAAUCUUCUAAAUAAAUGCUGAAAAUGAGUAAUCAACCCAGAAAAUAGCUGGCAAAUUUCUUACCUUGAAACAGUUGUUACACUAGUAAUUGCAGACAUGCUCGUAUUUUACACAGGAUUAUAAAAUUUAGAAUAUGUAGAAAACAAAAUAAAGAAACAAAACUAAAUCAGGCAAUGUAUGUCAAUGUAUGCCUGUGUUACUGACACAUGCAAUACAGUUGAUAUUCUUUGAUAUGAAAUCUUAAAAAUGUGAUAUAUUAAGUGCUUAUAUGGGAAACCUUUAAGAAAAACAGAUUAAAUUAAGUCAUAAAUCACAGCAUUUUCAAAAUUGACAAAAGGAGGAAAGGGGUUAGAAACAGCUCAUUCUUGAAAGAACAUACAGAACCCAGGUUUAGCUUCUUGUUUGCCUGAACAGAUGUGACUCUUUGAUUGUUCUUUUUUUUCAAAAGGAUAUGCUAAAAACAUUUCUGGGAGGUGCUGUCAAUUUACUCUGUAUAAACAAUUAAAAAUUAAUGGAAAGAGAAACAGAAAGUUGCAUAUUUAUCUCAUGGGUAGAUGCACUAAUCAUCAGGCAAUAGCAAUAUUUUCACUCUUGGGUCCUAUAAGUAUUUUAAUAACUUCCACAUUAAGCAAAAUGUCUGCAGCAAGAUUUACUAAAUAAAAUCCAAGACUAAAAUCAUUAGACUCUAACACUUAGGAACCUGUACUGAAAAAUGAAAAAAAAAAAA